Long non-coding RNA from Colias croceus (clouded yellow), 325 nucleotides. RefSeq lists it as uncharacterized. The record is from RefSeq and is a predicted model, not a curated record. The transcript is spliced from 2 exons. Lineage: Eukaryota; Metazoa; Arthropoda; Insecta; Lepidoptera; Pieridae.
CAAGAUUAAUUUUCUUCUUUAGUUACGCUCACUUCCUAUAAAAAGACUGCAAAUAGGUUUUGUUCACACAUUUACUAUAUGACAAUGAAAUACUUUGCAAUCUUUUUAGUCCUCUCUUUGGUUGCCAUCGCUUAUGGCAUGGAUGUAGAUUCCGCUAAAAAUAUUCCAAAAGUUUCCCCAAUAGGGCGUAAAUGUCUGUUUACGUGGGAAUGCUACGAAAUUUGCAGAGCCAAGUGCCUGAGUCCUACAAUGGCUCUUUGCCAUAGGUUCUUAUGUUACUGUGGAUGGUAGUCGAAUGUUAUGUGAAUAAACAUUUCUUAAGAUA